AGAAACCCCGCGAAGCAUACACAAUAGGGUUACCAGAAAUGUAAGGAUCAGUUAUAGUGAAACAAUCAGGCAAUUCAUCAAGAGAUUCUUGAAAACCUGCUGAGUAACAAUCAAAUGAAUGUUCAAUCAUACUACCCCUUUGUGACUCCAUAAGUACUUUGUUACGCGUUCAACAAAACUCAGUAACUUCAACCAAAACUCAAUAUAUAUGAGUUAAAAAAUAAUUUAUCCAGGCUACUCAGACUAAUCAAUAACUCAUAACUCAAAAU
Molecule: unclassified non-coding RNA, 269 nt
Filed under: Hevea brasiliensis (rubber tree)
Lineage: Eukaryota; Viridiplantae; Streptophyta; Magnoliopsida; Malpighiales; Euphorbiaceae
Source: RNAcentral